Molecule: transfer RNA, 69 nt
Filed under: Bos taurus (domestic cattle)
Lineage: Eukaryota; Metazoa; Chordata; Mammalia; Artiodactyla; Bovidae
Also listed under: 5 other names
Rfam family: tRNA
About the family: Transfer RNA (tRNA) molecules are approximately 80 nucleotides in length.
Source: Rfam by way of RNAcentral
CCUGAUAGCUCAGUUGGUAAAGAAUCUGCCUGCAAUGCAGGAAACCCAGGUUUGAUUCCUGGGUCAGGA